RNAcentral lists this ribosomal RNA (432 nucleotides) under uncultured bacterium. RNAcentral's name for it is "partial 16S ribosomal RNA". It matches the Rfam family "Bacterial small subunit ribosomal RNA", at positions 29 to 506 of the family's 1533-position model. The record is from RNAcentral.
AACGAACGCUGGCGGCAGGCCUAACACAUGCAAGUCGAGCGGACCCUUCGGGGUUAGCGGCGGACGGGUGAGUAACGCGUGGGAAUAUGCCCUUCUCUACGGAAUAGUCCUGGGAAACUGGGGGUAAUACCGUAUACGCCCUUUGGGGGAAAGAUUUAUCGGGGAAGGAUUAGCCCGCGUUGGAUUAGGUAGUUGGUGGGGUAAUGGCCUACCAAGCCGACGAUCCAUAGCUGGUUUGAGAGGAUGAUCAGCCACACUGGGACUGAGACACGGCCCAGACUCCUACGGGAGGCAGCAGGGGGGAAUCUUAGACAAUGGGGGCAACCCUGAUCUAGCCAGGCCGCGUGAGUGAUGAAGGCCUUAGGGUUGUAAAGCUCUUUCAGCUGGGAAGAUAAUGACGGUACCAGCAGAAGAAGCCCCGGCUAACUCCGU